GAUGAACGCUGGCGGCGUGCCUAACACAUGCCAGUCGAGCGGCAGCGAGGGGUGCUUGCACCCUGUCGGCGAGCGGCGGACGGCUGAGUAACGCGUGGGAACGUCCCCCAAAGUGAGGAAUAACUGCCCGAAAGGGUAGCUAAUACCGCAUAUUAUCUUCGGAUCAAAGGAUUUAUCCGCUUUGGGAGCGGCUCGCGUCGGAUUAGGUAGUUGGUGAGGUAAUGGCUCACCAAGCCGACGAUCCGUAGCUGGUCUGAGAGGAUGACCAGCCAGACUGGAACUGGGACACGGUCCAGACUCCUACGGGAGGCAGCAGUGAGGAAUCUUCCACAAUGGGCGAAAGCCUGAUGGAGCAACGCCGCGUGCAGGAUGAAGGCCUUCGGGUUGUAAACUGCUUUUAUAAGUGAGGAAUAUGACGGUAACUUAUGAAUAAGGAUCGGCUAACUACGUG
Molecule: ribosomal RNA, 451 nt
Filed under: uncultured bacterium
Lineage: Bacteria
Description: partial 16S ribosomal RNA
Rfam family: Bacterial small subunit ribosomal RNA
Source: RNAcentral